CGUCAAGAAGCUAUAUAGCGUUAACCUUUUAAGUUAAAGACUGAGAGUUCCCUAACCUCUCCUUGAUGA
This 69-nucleotide transfer RNA is filed under the name Phoca fasciata (ribbon seal). Its description in RNAcentral is "transfer RNA-Lys". It matches the Rfam family "tRNA". Rfam says of the family: Transfer RNA (tRNA) molecules are approximately 80 nucleotides in length. The record is from RNAcentral. Lineage: Eukaryota; Metazoa; Chordata; Mammalia; Carnivora; Phocidae.